This 127-nucleotide non-coding RNA is filed under the name Gloeochaete wittrockiana. Lineage: Eukaryota; Glaucocystophyceae; Gloeochaetales; Gloeochaetaceae. The record is from RNAcentral.
UGGCAAAUAGGCAAACUAAAUACGUAUGAAACAAAUAUACAAGAAAUACAACAAUGACGAUAGGUACUCCAGCAAAUUGUAUGGAGGAUAGGCCAAGUACUUUUUUUUUGAUAUUACUUUUUCUUCC